CUAUAGCUGCCUUUCCGACCACCUCGGAUGCUUACCUUGAAGACAGAGGCGGGAGUUUCGUGUCCAUUUUUUGGCUAAUUUUCCUUGUCAACUACUGGACUUUUCCAAGCGGACGUACUCUCUUCGCUUUUCCAAAAGCUUUUGGCUAUAUUGGAACCCGGAACCAGCAUCAACUCCUGGACUUCUCUAAAGGUUUUAUUCACAGCUCUUUGCUUCACCAAGACUGCUGCUGUCCUUGAUCUUACCACCUACCCGCAUAACCACAAAGACCGCUCAAGUCCAGGAACGCUCUCUGCGGUCAUCCCGAGGUCGUUCAGGAAGCACAAGCAGCCAUGGCACGAUGAGGAAACGCAGACAGAUGCUGUGGGUGGUUUCUGCCUGUCUGGCUCUGCUCCAAAUAGCUGCACUUCCUCUUCGAUGAAACCGCUGCCUUCAGCUGCAGCUUAUACUGGGAAAGCAAAGGUUAUUGGCUACAACGUUCAGCGGAUGAGGAGGGAUCAACUCAGAGAGAGAGAGAGAGAGAGAGAGAGAGAGAAUAUACCUUGAGGUGAGAAAUUAAUUGAGCCUGUAGAUUUUGGUUGCAGUGAGAUACCUCAGCUGAUAGGCCGCAUUCUCGCUCCCUGACUGUGUAUCUUCUUUCUCAAAUACCCUAAGAACAUUUUAGCACUAGUUUUGUGGAGCACACUGAAUAGAGAGGCAUUAGGCCUGAGAAGUCAGACUUUAUAUAUGUGCCUGUCUGCUGCAGUCAGGCCUGUUUUCCCUCAGUAGAGCUGAUGACUCUAUAACCACAUCCAUGAGGCAAAGCGAUGUCAAAAAACCAGGAAAUCACAAGUAGCACUUAAAUUAUCCUGUUUCAUUUUUUUGAACUGAGGGAAAUAAAAAUCUUCAU
Long non-coding RNA from Lates calcarifer (barramundi perch), 889 nucleotides. RefSeq lists it as uncharacterized. NCBI's taxonomy places the organism in Eukaryota, Metazoa, Chordata, Actinopteri, Centropomidae. The record is from RefSeq and is a predicted model, not a curated record. The transcript is spliced from 4 exons.